RNAcentral lists this ribosomal RNA (2133 nucleotides) under Triticum aestivum (bread wheat). RNAcentral's name for it is "partial small subunit ribosomal RNA". The record is from RNAcentral. Lineage: Eukaryota; Viridiplantae; Streptophyta; Magnoliopsida; Poales; Poaceae.
AUGUCUUCCGCCUCACAAAACAUCUCCUCCGGUCUAAACAACACCACCUCCGAGCCUCUCAAUUGUACCAACUAUAUCCUAUGGAGAGCUCAGGCCCGUUCUCAGAUCAUGGGGGCGGGACUUUUUGGCUAUCUUGAAAAAACAAUCCCUGAACCCUCCACCACCAUAGUCUCAAAGAACUCCGAAGGGAAGGACCAGACGGAAGUCCUGAUCCAGAUUGCGUCCCUUGAAAAAUCCCACCAAAUCUGGGCCGCCCUUACCAAUAUGUUCACAGCCCAGUCACGAUCCCGAGCCAACAACUGUCGCACAACCCUUUCCAAAGCCCAAAAUGGCACGCAAUCAGCCGCCUCUUUCUUCGGUCAGAUGCAAUCACUCGCAGAUGAGCUCCUCGUGGCCGGAAAACCCAUAACUGAGGACAAGCUGAUCUCAUUCAUUAUUGCUGGUCUUGAUAUGGACUAUCAGCCCCUAAUCUCGGCCCUUGAUGUGCGCACAGAACCUCUUUCUGUAGAUGACCUCUUCGGCAUGGUAGCCAACUUUGAUCAACGAGUAGAGAUGUUCCAUGGAUCGGGGGCAGGGGGCUUCAAGUCCUUAGCCAAUGCAGCCUACCGUGGCCAAGGGAGCUCCUCCAAGGCCAACCGCAACUCACAUAAAGGGGGUGGCUGCGGUGGGUCGCGCGGCGGCGGCACUGGUGGCGGCUACCACAACGGUGGUAGCGGCGGCUACCACAACAAGAAGUCCGACGGCCGCUACAACAACUCCGGCGGCCGCUACCACAACAACAAUUCUGCCGUCGGCCAACGCAUCUACAACAACAAUGGCAAUGGCGGCGGCUACUACAACCACAACCCACCUCGUCCCUUCUACAACAACAAUAGGGGCGGAGGAGGUUUUCACUUUGCCGGGGGGUUCUCUUGUGCAAAGAGCCUGCAUCAUAUAGUCACGGACUCACAGGUGCCCAAUACGACACGCGACAGCAGCACCUCGGUCUCUGCUGCUCGUCCUCCUCCUCCUCCUAGAGUUCUAUCAUGCCGCAGCUCGAUCUGCUGCUCCCAAGCGCAGCCACCUCGUCCCCGACCCCGAGCUCCUUCUUCGUCGACGACCGAAUUCACGACCAGGACCCCGUCACCCCCCUACCUUCUUUCCCCCGUCAUCUCCCUCUUCCCUUCUUCUCUGUUUCUCCCGUUUACUCUCAUCUCCCUCUAUCUCUCUUCCUCUUUGUUACAGCCUUACAGGGAGGCCGCCAUGGACGCCCGGGGUCCUCCGCUCCGACCCUCGCUGUGGCGGCUCUGCCGACGUCGUCGCCUAAGUGAGCAGCAGCAGCACCGUGACGUUGCCCCGCCUCCUCUCUCCCUCUCUAUCUCUCCCAUGUCUCUCUAUUCUCUCUCUCAACCCUCUCUCUUUUCUUCAACAGGAAGACUACCAUGCCCGCUGCAGGAGCUUCGAGCCGACCCCCGCAACAUGGAGACCGCCGCCGCCCUUCCGACAUCGAGAAUCGCCAGAUCCGGCCCGUCUCCGACCUGCCUCGCCGUCCUUCGCCCGUUCCGACGUCUCCCCGGCGCUAGGAGCUCAGGCGAGCGCAGCCACAAGACCCUGACUUCUCUGCCCCAGAUCCCGCCAUGGUGGUCGUCGCCUCUCCGUCUCUAUCUGUCCAUCGCCGGAUCCACGCUGGUGUCCUCCAGGGACCCGCCAUGGAGGUUGCCGCCUCUCCCGUCUCGAUCCGUCCGCCGCCGGAUCGACGAGGGAGCAGCCGAGAUCCGCCGCCCAUUCCGCGACGCCUCGGCCGGCAGGAAGGCCAAAGGCCUCGCCAAGCAGCAGGAGGACUUGCGGCUAGGCUCGCCUGCCGCAAGCGCGCCCGCGAGCUCACCCCCGUGCCGGCCAAGGCCACCUUUGGUGACUUUCAUGUCCGCCGCGCUCUCGUACGCCUGCCGCGACGCCAAGUCCGCCGCGCUCUCGUACGCCUGGCGCGACGCCAGGGGCUUUUUUGCAAAAACGAAACGUUAUAUCAGGAACACACUGAAAAUAGGACUGCGGGUUUAUUUCAAAGAAACAGAGGGGCUUUUUCGCAAAAACGCCGACGACGUACGGGCAGAAGCACUCCGUGCUUUAUUAGUAGGGAAAGAUGUUUGUGUUUGA